AUUGAACGCUGGCGGCAGGCCUAACACAUGCAAGUCGAGCGGAUGAAGGGAGCUUGCUCCUGGAUUCAGCGGCGGACGGGUGAGUAAUGCCUAGGAAUCUGCCUGGUAGUGGGGGAUAACGUCCGGAAACGGGCGCUAAUACCGCAUACGUUCUGAGGGAGAAAGUGGGGGAUCUUCGGACCUCACGCUAUCAGAUGAGCCUAGGUCGGAUUAGCUAGGUGGUGGGGUAAAGGCCUACCAAGGCGACGAUCCGUAACUGGUCUGAGAGGAUGAUCAGUCACACUGGAACUGAGACACGGUCCAGACCCCUGCGGGAGGCAGCAGUGGGGAAUAUUUGACGAGGGGGGAGAGCCUGAUCCAGCCAUGCCGCGGGUGUGAAGAAGGUCUUCGGAUUGUAAAGCACUUUAAGUUGGGAGAAAGGGCAGUAAGUUAAUACCUUGCUGUUUUGACGUUACCAACAGAAUAAGCACCGGCUAACUUCGUG
Molecule: ribosomal RNA, 484 nt
Filed under: uncultured bacterium
Lineage: Bacteria
Description: partial 16S ribosomal RNA
Rfam family: Bacterial small subunit ribosomal RNA
Source: RNAcentral